UACAGAGGCCCCAAGCGUUGUUCGGAUUCAUUGGGCGUAAAGGGUGCGUAGGCGGCGAGGUAAGUCGGAUGUGAAAUCCCGGAGCUUAACUCCGGAACUGCAUUCGAUACUGCUUUGCUAGAGGACUGGAGAGGAGAUCGGAAUUCACGGUGUAGCAGUGAAAUGCAUAGAUAUCGUGAGGAAGACCAGUGGCGAAGGCGGAUCUCUGGACAGUUCCUGACGCUGAGGCACGAAGGCCAGGGGAGCAAACGGG
Molecule: ribosomal RNA, 253 nt
Filed under: bacterium
Lineage: Bacteria
Also listed under: 1 other name
Description: partial 16S ribosomal RNA
Rfam family: Bacterial small subunit ribosomal RNA
Source: RNAcentral